GAUGAACGCUAGCUACAGGCUUAACACAUGCAAGUCGAGGGGUAACGAGAGGAAAGCUUGCUUUCCCUGUCGACGACCGGCGCACGGGUGAGUAACGCGUAUCCAACCUGCCCCCAACUAAGGAAUAACCUUGCGAAAGUAAGACUAAUACCUUAUAAUUUCCUCAGAUGUCAUCUGACGAGGAAUAAAGAUUUAUCGGUUGUGGAUGGGGAUGCGUCUGAUUAGCUUGUUGGCGGGGUAACGGCCCACCAAGGCAACGAUCAGUAGGGGUUCUGAGAGGAAGGUCCCCCACAUUGGAACUGAGACACGGUCCAAACUCCUACGGGAGGCAGCAGUGAGGAAUAUUGGUCAAUGGGCGAAAGCCUGAACCAGCCAAGUAGCGUGCAGGAUGACGGCCCUAUGGGUUGUAAACUGCUUUUAUACAGGAAUAAAGUUAGCCACGUGUGGUUAUUUGUAGGUACUGUAUGAAUAAGGACCGGCUAAUUCCGUGCCAGCCGCCGCCGUAA
RNAcentral lists this ribosomal RNA (506 nucleotides) under uncultured bacterium. RNAcentral describes it as "partial 16S ribosomal RNA". It matches the Rfam family "Bacterial small subunit ribosomal RNA", at positions 28 to 523 of the family's 1533-position model. The record is from RNAcentral.